GAGGUGAACCACUAUACUUCGCUUGUGUCAUCCUCUCUCUCUCUCUUUCUCUCUAAAGCUAACUAGAUCCCACGGAUCCAAAUGUUAACAAGCAUAGUGGAUCGGCUUUCUUCCUCUUUCUAUAUUAUUUUCUAAAAAAAUCCGAUCCCCAUCUAAGAAAAAGAUAGUUUGAUAUCAUAUCUUUACUUGAUCUCUUAUCUCGAUAUUAUGCUCAAAUCGUUUAGGAUCUUAAAUUGUUUUUGAUCCUGUUGUUUGUUGUGGAAUAGAUGUGUGGGUUUAGGAAAAUAUUUGCGAGAUCUGGGUUUUACAGAAUCUUUGUGAGUAGAAAUCGGAGGUGGAGGUGAAAGAGAGCUAUCCUGGGUUUCAGCACACGAAAAAAUUGAAACACGUAUAGUUUUGCUUCUUAUUUCAUCUAAGCUUAGAAGGAGCGAGCCAAGAGGACAAGUAUUGAUGUGUGGACUUGCUUUGAUUAUCAGCCUCAGCAAAAGAGCGUUGAAUGUUGGUUUUCCAGAGAGUACAACUUCGAAAAGAAAGGAGCAAAACAAAAUAGUAGCAGCUACAUUUUUCUUUUCUUAUUGUGUUGCUGUAUUAUGUUUUUUGUUCUUCCCUUGUAAAUAUUUACUGGGAGAGGUAUUGGCGUUCAUCCUCCGCUCCCUCCCUGUAUCAUUAUUUCUCGAAUAAAUUGGAUAUUUUGAUGAUU
Molecule: long non-coding RNA, 700 nt
Organism: Rosa chinensis
Lineage: Eukaryota; Viridiplantae; Streptophyta; Magnoliopsida; Rosales; Rosaceae
Exons: 2
Source: RefSeq, a predicted model, not a curated record